This 216-nucleotide ribosomal RNA is filed under the name Glomeromycotina sp. RNAcentral's name for it is "partial small subunit ribosomal RNA". The stretch from base 75 to 216 matches the Rfam family "Eukaryotic small subunit ribosomal RNA", at positions 721 to 864 of the family's 1831-position model. Lineage: Eukaryota; Fungi; Glomeromycota. The record is from RNAcentral.
GGGUCAGUAGGUUGGUCGUGCCACCGGUACGUACUGGUCUCACUGAAUCCUCCUUCCUGAAGAACCGUAAUGCCAUUAAUUUGGUGUUGCGGGGAAACAGGACUGUUACUUUGAAAAGAUUAGAGUGUUUAAAGCAAGCUAACGCUUGAAUACAUUAGCAUGGAAUAAUGAAAUAGGACGAUCGAUCCUAUUUUGUUGGUUUCUAGGAUUGACGUA